This 2122-nucleotide ribosomal RNA is filed under the name Klebsiella pneumoniae. Its description in RNAcentral is "bacterial LSU rRNA". It matches the Rfam family "Bacterial large subunit ribosomal RNA", at positions 1 to 2141 of the family's 2925-position model. The record is from RNAcentral. Lineage: Bacteria; Pseudomonadati; Pseudomonadota; Gammaproteobacteria; Enterobacterales; Enterobacteriaceae.
GGGUUGUGAGGUUAAGCGACUAAGCGUACACGGUGGAUGCCCUGGCAGUCAGAGGCGAUGAAGGACGUGCUAAUCUGCGAAAAGCGUCGGUAAGGUGAUAUGAACCGUUAUAACCGGCGAUGUCCGAAUGGGGAAACCCAGUGCAAUUCGUUGCACUAUCGUUAACUGAAUACAUAGGUUAACGAGGCGAACCGGGGGAACUGAAACAUCUAAGUACCCCGAGGAAAAGAAAUCAACCGAGAUUCCCCCAGUAGCGGCGAGCGAACGGGGAGCAGCCCAGAGUCUGAAUCAGCUUGUGUGUUAGUGGAACGGUCUGGAAAGUCCGACGGUACAGGGUGAUAGUCCCGUACACCAAAAUGCACAGGCUGUGAACUCGAAGAGUAGGGCGGGACACGUGGUAUCCUGUCUGAAUAUGGGGGGACCAUCCUCCAAGGCUAAAUACUCCUGACUGACCGAUAGUGAACCAGUACCGUGAGGGAAAGGCGAAAAGAACCCCGGCGAGGGGAGUGAAAAAGAACCUGAAACCGUGUACGUACAAGCAGUGGGAGCACCUUCGGGUGUGACUGCGUACCUUUUGUAUAAUGGGUCAGCGACUUAUAUUCUGUAGCAAGGUUAACCGUAUAGGGGAGCCGCAGGGAAACCGAGUCUUAACUGGGCGUUAAGUUGCAGGGUAUAGACCCGAAACCCGGUGAUCUAGCCAUGGGCAGGUUGAAGGUUGGGUAACACUAACUGGAGGACCGAACCGACUAAUGUUGAAAAAUUAGCGGAUGACUUGUGGCUGGGGGUGAAAGGCCAAUCAAACCGGGAGAUAGCUGGUUCUCCCCGAAAGCUAUUUAGGUAGCGCCUCGUGAAUUCAUCUUCGGGGGUAGAGCACUGUUUCGGCUAGGGGGUCAUCCCGACUUACCAACCCGAUGCAAACUACGAAUACCGAAGAAUGUUAUCACGGGAGACACACGGCGGGUGCUAACGUCCGUCGUGAAGAGGGAAACAACCCAGACCGCCAGCUAAGGUCCCAAAGUCAUGGUUAAGUGGGAAACGAUGUGGGAAGGCACAGACAGCCAGGAUGUUGGCUUAGAAGCAGCCAUCAUUUAAAGAAAGCGUAAUAGCUCACUGGUCGAGUCGGCCUGCGCGGAAGAUGUAACGGGGCUAAACCAUGCACCGAAGCUGCGGCAGCGACACUAUGUGUUGUUGGGUAGGGGAGCGUUCUGUAAGCCUGCGAAGGUGACCUGUGAGGGUUGCUGGAGGUAUCAGAAGUGCGAAUGCUGACAUAAGUAACGAUAAAGCGGGUGAAAAGCCCGCUCGCCGGAAGACCAAGGGUUCCUGUCCAACGUUAAUCGGGGCAGGGUGAGUCGACCCCUAAGGCGAGGCCGAAAGGCGUAGUCGAUGGGAAACAGGUUAAUAUUCCUGUACUUGGUGUUACUGCGAAGGGGGGACGGAGAAGGCUAUGUUAGCCGGGCGACGGUUGUCCCGGUUUAAGCAUGUAGGCUGGUUGUCCAGGCAAAUCCGGAUAAUCAAGGCUGAGGUGUGAUGACGAGGCACUACGGUGCUGAAGUAACAAAUGCCCUGCUUCCAGGAAAAGCCUCUAAGCAUCAGGUAACAUUAAAUCGUACCCCAAACCGACACAGGUGGUCAGGUAGAGAAUACCAAGGCGCUUGAGAGAACUCGGGUGAAGGAACUAGGCAAAAUGGUGCCGUAACUUCGGGAGAAGGCACGCUGGUGUGUAGGUGAAGUCCCUGCGGAUGGAGCUGAGACCAGUCGAAGAUACCAGCUGGCUGCAACUGUUUAUUAAAAACACAGCACUGUGCAAACACGAAAGUGGACGUAUACGGUGUGACGCCUGCCCGGUGCCGGAAGGUUAAUUGAUGGGGUUAUCCGUAAGGAGAAGCUCUUGAUCGAAGCCCCGGUAAACGGCGGCCGUAACUAUAACGGUCCUAAGGUAGCGAAAUUCCUUGUCGGGUAAGUUCCGACCUGCACGAAUGGCGUAAUGAUGGCCAGGCUGUCUCCACCCGAGACUCAGUGAAAUUGAACUCGCUGUGAAGAUGCAGUGUACCCGCGGCAAGACGGAAAGACCCCGUGAACCUUUACUAUAGCUUGACACUGAACAUUGAGCCUUGAUGUGUAG